UCAGGAUGAACGCUAGCGGCAGGCUUAACACAUGCAAGUCGAGGGGCAGCACGUCUUCGGAUGGUGGCGACCGGCGCACGGGUGCGUAACGCGUAUACAAUCUACCUUGUAGAGGGGGAUAGCCCGGGGAAACCCGGAUUAAUACUCCAUGGUACUUAGAGAUAGCAUUUUCUUUAGGUUAAACAUUUAUGGCUACAAGAUGAGUAUGCGUCCUAUUAGUUAGUUGGUAAGGUAACGGCUUACCAAGACCGCGAUAGGUAGGGGUCCUGAGAGGGAGAUCCCCCACACUGGUACUGAGACACGGACCAGACUCCUACGGGAGGCAGCAGUGAGGAAUAUUGGACAAUGGGCGAGAGCCUGAUCCAGCCAUGCCGCGUGCAGGAAGACGGCCCUAUGGGUUGUAAACUGCUUUUAUACAGGAAGAAACCCCUCUACGUGUAGAGGCUUGACGGUACUGUAGGAAUAAGGAUCGGCUAACUCCGUGCCAGCAGCCGCGGUAAUACGGAGGAUCCAAGCGUUAUCCGGAAUCAUUGGGUUUAAAGGGUCCGUAGGCGGGACAAUAAGUCAGCGGUGAAAGUCUGUGGCUCAACCAUAGAAUUGCCAUUGAUACUGUUGUUCUUGAGUGUUUAUGAAGUGGUUGGAAUAUGUAGUGUAGCGGUGAAAUGCAUAGAUAUUACAUAGAACACCGAUUGCGAAGGCAGAUCACUAAUAAAAUACUGACGCUGAUGGACGAAAGCGUAGGUAGCGAACAGGAUUAGAUACCCUGGUAGUCUACGCCGUAAACGAUGGUUACUAGCUGUUCGGUCGCAAGACUGAGUGGCUAAGCGAAAGUGAUAAGUAACCCAC
RNAcentral lists this ribosomal RNA (846 nucleotides) under Antarcticibacterium flavum. Its description in RNAcentral is "bacterial SSU rRNA". It matches the Rfam family "Bacterial small subunit ribosomal RNA", at positions 24 to 872 of the family's 1533-position model. The record is from RNAcentral. Lineage: Bacteria; Pseudomonadati; Bacteroidota; Flavobacteriia; Flavobacteriales; Flavobacteriaceae.